This 422-nucleotide ribosomal RNA is filed under the name Fusobacteriota bacterium. RNAcentral's name for it is "Fusobacteria bacterium partial 16S ribosomal RNA". It matches the Rfam family "Bacterial small subunit ribosomal RNA", at positions 355 to 776 of the family's 1533-position model. The record is from RNAcentral. Lineage: Bacteria; Fusobacteriati; Fusobacteriota.
UGGGGGAUUUUGCACAAUGGGCGCAAGCCUGAUGCAGCGACGCCGCGUGAGGGAUGAAGGCCUUCGGGUUGUAAACCUCUUUCGCUGGGUUGAAAGGCCAUGCUUUGGGUGUGGUUGAUUUGAACUGGUAAAGAAGUACCGGCUAACUACGUGCCAGCAGCCGCGGUAAUACGUAGGGUACUAGCGUUGUCCGGAUUUAUUGGGCGUAAAGGGCUUGUAGGUGGUUUGUCGCGUCUGUCGUGAAAUCCUGUGGCUUAACCAUGGGCUUGCGGUGGGUACGGGCAGGCUUGAGUGCGGUAGGGGAGACUGGAAUUCCUGGUGUAGCGGUGGAAUGCGGAGAUAUCAGGAGGACCACCGGUGGCGAAGGCGGGUCUCUGGGCCGUUACUGACACUGAGGAGCGAAAGCGUGGGGAGCGAACAGG